This 429-nucleotide ribosomal RNA is filed under the name uncultured Glomus. RNAcentral describes it as "SSU rRNA". It matches the Rfam family "Eukaryotic small subunit ribosomal RNA", at positions 569 to 1003 of the family's 1831-position model. The record is from RNAcentral. Lineage: Eukaryota; Fungi; Glomeromycota; Glomeromycetes; Glomerales; Glomeraceae.
AGCAGCCGCGGUAAUUCCAGCUCCAAUAGCGUAUAUUAAAGUUGUUGCAGUUAAAAGGCUCGUAGUUGAAUUUCGGGGUCAGUAGGUUGGUCGUGCCACUGGUAUGCACUGGUCUCACUGAUUCCUCCUUCCUGAUGAGCCGUAAUGCCAUUAAUUUGGUGUUGCGGGGAAUCUGGACUGUUACUUUGAAAAAUUAGAGUGUUUAAAGCAGGCUAACGCUUGAAUACAUUAGCAUGGAAUAAUGAAAUAGGACGAUCGAUCUUAUUUUGUUGGUUUCUAGGAUUGACGUAAUGAUUAAUAGGGAUAGUUGGGGGCAUUAGUAUUCAAUUGUCAGAGGUGAAAUUCUUGGAUUUAUUGAAGACUAACUACUGCGAAAGCAUUUGCCAAGGAUGUUUUCAUUAAUCAAGAACGAAAGUUAGGGGAUCGAAG